Molecule: ribosomal RNA, 253 nt
Filed under: uncultured bacterium
Lineage: Bacteria
Description: partial 16S ribosomal RNA
Rfam family: Bacterial small subunit ribosomal RNA
Source: RNAcentral
GAGUAACACGUGAGUGACCUGCCUUUUAGACUGGAACAACUUACCGAAAGGUGAGCUAAUGCCGGAUGAGUUAUAUAAGUGCAUGUUUAUAUAGGAAAAGUUGGGGAGACCUGACGCUGAAAGAUGGACUCGCGUCCCAUUAGCUAGUUGGUAGGGUAAUGGCCUACCAAGGCGACGAUGGGUAGCCGGCCUGAGAGGGUGGCCGGCCACACUGGGACUGAGACACGGCCCAGACUCCUACGGAAGGCAGCAG